RNAcentral lists this ribosomal RNA (465 nucleotides) under uncultured bacterium. RNAcentral's name for it is "partial 16S ribosomal RNA". It matches the Rfam family "Bacterial small subunit ribosomal RNA", at positions 338 to 795 of the family's 1533-position model. The record is from RNAcentral.
CCUACGGGUGGCAGCAGUGGGGAAUAUUGCGCAAUGGGCGAAAGCCUGACGCAGCGACGCCGCGUGAGGGAUGAAGGUCUUCGGAUCGUAAACCUCUGUCAGUAGGGAAGCACGGUCACUGUGCUAAUCAGCAGUGAAUUGACGGUAUCUGCAAAGGAAGCACCGGCUAACUCCGUGCCAGCAGCCGCGGUAAUACGGAGGGUGCGGGCGUUAAUCGGAAUUACUGGGCGUAAAGCGCUCGUAGGCGGUAUGUCAAGUCAAGGGUGAAAUCCCCGCGCUCAACGUGGGAACUGCCUUUGAGACUGGCAGACUGGAGUGUGUGAGAGGAUAGUGGAAUUCGAGGUGUAGGAGUGAAAUGCGUAGAUAUCUGGAGGAACAGCAGUGGCGAAGGCGAGUAUCUGGCACAUAACUGACGCUGAGGAGCGAAAGCGUGGGUAGCAAACAGGAUUAGAUACCCCAGUAGUC